This is a long non-coding RNA of Salvelinus namaycush (lake trout), 1187 nucleotides long. RefSeq lists it as uncharacterized. The record is from RefSeq and is a predicted model, not a curated record. The transcript is spliced from 3 exons. Lineage: Eukaryota; Metazoa; Chordata; Actinopteri; Salmoniformes; Salmonidae.
ACUAGUGAUGAUAGGUAGCUAGUUGAUACAGUUAGCUUAGCUAACGUUACUGUAAUCUUGUUAAGAGAGGCCCGUGGAAAUCCAAAUUAAGUAGGUUGUGAUGUAAUCAGGACAAUACUAGGCCAUAACGUUAACACUGAAGGGUUCGUUUUUUGUUAGCUUAGUCAGAGAUAUUAGAAAGGGAUAUCUUAGUUAGCUUGUUCAAUUCCCGUGUCUCAGUAGCAGGCCUACAGACCGCUCGCUCCCUGUAGGCGCACGCUACGACGACCUCAAAAACGACGGAGUCCUUAGAUUUGUGGUCAACAGGAGCUUCGUGUGAAAUACAUUACUUUAUAAAGGCGUGCAUUCACACGGUGUGAAAAAAAAAAAAAAAAAAACGAAUACGUUUUACCUCUUUUAUUCGGUUGUCAAGGUGCGCGGGAUCUUUCUUUCCCAGGAUCCAGAACAAACACCUCUCGUCGUCGGUGACGUCAUGCGCAGACAGAACGUGAAAGGGAGAUUUUCCCAACUGAUGAGAAGAUGCAUAGGAAAGAGCUGGAAGACUUCAAAGAGCGGAUGCGAGACCGGAAGGAGCGGCGGCUACUGAAACGGAUGGCCUUGGAUGAGGCUGAGAAGGAGGGAGGAGGACAGUUCAGAGAGACAAUCAGAGUAGGACGAUGCCCAAUCAGAAGCCUUGUUGUUCCACAGGAGGGGGGAGCAGUUUCACUGUCAGGCCUGUGGACUGGAACAUGUUCCCUGUCACAAAAGGCACCCUAUUACCUAUUUAGUAUACUACUUUGACCAUUGCCCAUAGGGCUAUGGUAAAACGUAGUGCACUUUAUAGGAAAAGGGGUGCCAUUUGGGGUUGGAGAAUUUUGGAUGCCGUGGAGCAUGUAGGCUAUACUAUACACCCUUUGGGAGGGUGUGCUGGAGGGGGACCUUAAAGUUACCCCUUUGAACUGAAAAGUCUCACUGAAAAGCUUUUUAUGAAAUGCUUUAUUUCACUGCAGUCAAACCACGACUUGACUGUUGAUGAUCUGCUCUGUGAUGGUGUUGAUGUAAACCUUGUGUGUGUGAUUGUCUCAAAAGAUGUGUGAAUGAAAUAUGAGAACAGAAUCAUAUGGCUUGGAAUGUUAUUUAUUUUUUAUGAUUUAGAAUACAUGUCUUUUGUAAAUGUAUGUUUCAACUCUGUCCUUAAUUAAAGUUUA